GUGCCAGCCGCCGCGGUAAUACAGAGGGUGCUAGCGUUGUUCGGAAUUAUUGGGCGUAAAGCGCGUGUAGGCGGUUCACCAAGUUGGGUGUGAAAGCCCUCGGCUUAACCGAGGAAGUGCGCCCAAAACUAGUGAACUCGAGUACCGGAGAGGGUGGCGGAAUUCCCGGUGUAGAGGUGAAAUUCGUAGAUAUCGGGAGGAACACCAGCGGCGAAGGCGGCCACCUGGACGGAUACUGACGCUGAGACGCGAAAGCGUGGGGAGCAAACAGGAUUAGAAACCCCAGUAGUCC
RNAcentral lists this ribosomal RNA (292 nucleotides) under uncultured bacterium. Its description in RNAcentral is "partial 16S ribosomal RNA". It matches the Rfam family "Bacterial small subunit ribosomal RNA", at positions 505 to 796 of the family's 1533-position model. The record is from RNAcentral.